GACGAACGCUGGCGGCGUGCUUAACACAUGCAAGUCGAACGGAAAGGCCCUGCUUUUGUGGGGUGCUCGAGUGGCGAACGGGGGAGUAACACGUGAGUAACCUGCCCUUGACUUUGGGAUAACUUCAGGAAACUGGGGCUAAUACCGGAUAGGAGCUCCUGCUGCACGGUGGGGGUUGGAAAGUUUCGGCGGUUGGGGCUGGACUCGCGGCUUAUCAGCUUGUUGGUGGGGUAGUGGCUUACCAAGGCUUUGACGGGUAGCCGGCCUGAGAGGGUGACCGGCCACAUGGGGACUGAGAUACGGCCCAGACUCCUACGGGAGGCAGCAGGGGGGAAUAUUGCACAAUGGGCGGAAGCCUGAUGCAGCAACGCCGCGUGCGGGAUGACGGCCUUCGGGUUGUAAACCGCUUUCGCCUGUGACGAAGCGUGAGUGACGGUAAUGGGUAAAGAAGCACCGGCUAACUACGUG
Molecule: ribosomal RNA, 468 nt
Filed under: uncultured bacterium
Lineage: Bacteria
Description: partial 16S ribosomal RNA
Rfam family: Bacterial small subunit ribosomal RNA
Source: RNAcentral